RNAcentral lists this long non-coding RNA (1880 nucleotides) under Homo sapiens (human). Its description in RNAcentral is "non-protein coding lnc-MBD3-1:1". The record is from RNAcentral. Lineage: Eukaryota; Metazoa; Chordata; Mammalia; Primates; Hominidae.
CUUGGCUGCCCCCAGCCCCGCCCAUGUCUCAGCCCCAAGACCUUCUGGGACUUUUUUUUUUUUUAGACAAGAGUUUCGCUCUUCUUUCGCUCUUGUUGCACAGGCUGGAGUGCAGUGGCGUGAUCUGGGCUCACUGCAACCUCCACCUUCUGGGUUCAAGCCUCAGCCUCCCGAGUAGCCACCACGCCCAGCUAAUUUUUGUAUUUUUAAUAGAGACAGGGUUUCACCAUGUUGGCCAGUCUGGUCUGGAACUCCUAACCUCAGGUGAUCCGCCCGCCCCAGCUUCCCAAAUUGCCGGGAUUACAGGUGUGAACCACCAUGGCAGCCCUUCUGGCACUUGCCAGCAGCAGCAAGAGCCUCACGUGUCCCCCGCCUCCCCUCAGACCAAGCUCCCCACCGCUGCCGCCACAGAGGGUACCAGGGAGGAGAGGCUCAGGACCCCCGUGGCGAGGAUGCACCUCCCAGCCCUCGGCCCAGCCACACGGACCACAGGGCUCCCGAGUCUCAGCAACACCAGCUAAGGGGCAUCAUGCCUCUCCUGCCACACCCAGGGCCCGUGCCUUGCUGUCCCUGCAGCCCCCAGACCCAGGCAGACAGGGACAGCCCUUCUGACCACCGCACACACUCGCCACCGCAAAGAUCCCCGGGGAUGCCCCUCGCCUGUGUGUGUCCCUCAUGGCUGUCACAGCAAAUCUCCAGGAGCCCGGAGGUGCCCAUGGAAAACACCCCCAGCUUCCGGAACGUUCUUUCGGACAGGGCCAUACCGGAGCAAGACUCAGCUUUCUGGUAGCGGGUGGCUGGGCACUGCCUGUGAGAUUCUGUCACACUCGCUCCAGAUUCAAGGGGUCCAAAAAGUGUAAACAAGUCAAGUGCCCAUCCAGGGAUGAACGAACACAGCCCGGCCCGGCCACACCAUGGAGCAGGACUCGGCCAUGAACAGGAACCAGGCUCUGACACCGGCCACGGCGCAGAUGCCCCUGGAGGAGUCCACCCUCAGCAAGAGACACACAGACACCGACACGGCGUGCAAUCCCAUUUGUGUGAAUGUCCAGGACAGGCCGAUUCAGAGACAGGAAGGGGACACGUGGGUGCCAGUGACUGGGGAUUAUGGGGACUGGGGGAAAUGGCUAAAGGGCACCCACAAAAGUUAAUGAUAAUGUUCCACAGUUUUUUUUUUGAGAUGGAGUCUCACUCUUGUCACCCAGGCUGGAGUGCAAUGGUGUGAUCUCUGCUCACUGCAAGCUCUGCCUCCUGGGUUCACGCCAUUCUCCCUCCUCAGCCUCCCAAGUAGCUGAGAUUACAGGCAUAUGCCACCACCCCCAGUAGAGACGGGGUUUCACCAUGUUAGCCAGGCUGGUCACGAACUCCUGACCUCAAGUGAUCCCCCACCUCGGCCUCCCAAAGUGCUGGGAUUACAGGCAUGAGCCACCGUGCCUCACCAGAAUUGUGUACUUUUUUUUCUUCUUCUUCUUCGGCAUGGAGUUUCGCUCUUGUUGCCCAGGCUGGAGUGCAAUGGUGCAAACUUGGCUCACCGCAACCUCCUCCUCCCGGGUUCAAUAGAUUCUCCAGCCUCAGCCUGCUGAGUAGCUGAGAUUACGGGCGCCCGCCACCACACCCAGCUAAUCUUUGUACUUUUAGUAGAGACAGGGUUUCACCAUGUUGGCCACGGGCAAAAGAAUUUUGUUGAGGGCAAAUAAUAUGAGACCACAAAACUGCCUUCCCUGCUCAGUUUUAAUUUUCACAGUUUUAAUUUUUAGCCUUCUCUGGUUACCAAAAUAACCACGCUCACGGCCGUUCAUUUGAAGAUAUUUCCAGUUAACGUGUGUGAAGUGGGUUUUUUGAGAUGUAAUUUACAAGCAAUAAAAUGCUCCUGUCUCUGC